RNAcentral lists this ribosomal RNA (404 nucleotides) under uncultured Lutibacterium sp. Its description in RNAcentral is "bacterial SSU rRNA". It matches the Rfam family "Bacterial small subunit ribosomal RNA", at positions 355 to 776 of the family's 1533-position model. The record is from RNAcentral. Lineage: Bacteria; Pseudomonadati; Pseudomonadota; Alphaproteobacteria; Sphingomonadales; Sphingomonadaceae.
UGGGGAAUAUUGGACAAUGGGCGAAAGCCUGAUCCAGCAAUGCCGCGUGAGUGAUGAAGGCCUUAGGGUUGUAAAGCUCUUUUACCCGAGAUGAUAAUGACAGUAUCGGGAGAAUAAGCCCCGGCUAACUCCGUGCCAGCAGCCGCGGUAAUACGGAGGGGGCUAGCGUUGUUCGGAAAUACUGGGCGUAAAGCGCACGUAGGCGGCGAUUCAAGUCAGAGGUGAAAGCCCGGGGCUCAACCCCGGAACUGCCUUUGAAACUAGAUUGCUAGAAUCCUGGAGAGGUCAGUGGAAUUCCGAGUGUAGAGGUGAAAUUCGUAGAUAUUCGGAAGAACACCAGUGGCGAAGGCGACUGACUGGACAGGUAUUGACGCUGAGGUGCGAAAGCGUGGGGAGCAAACAGG